UCAGCUCCUGCUCGAGAACCUCCACCCGAGCUAGGGCUCCUUCCUUUUGAACCUUCACCUUAUCAAGGUGAGCUUGAGCUCCUUCAAAAUCAGCCUUCAGGGCCUCAUAUUGACGCUGGACCUCAUCCUUCUGACUCACAGCCUCGUCCUUCUCACGAAGAGUCUCCAUCAUGGAGGACAGCUGCUUCAAAACUUCUUCACAUCGGACCUCAGCAGCAGCCGCCCUCUCAUCAGACUCCUUGAGAACCCUGCGGGUAUGAGACAACUCUGCUUCCAGGGACUUGGCGUGCUCCUGUGCCUCAGCCGCCUUCCCGUCAGCUCUUUUGAGGGCCUCCAAUGCAGAAU
RNAcentral lists this long non-coding RNA (345 nucleotides) under Manihot esculenta (cassava). RNAcentral describes it as "long non-coding RNA (MESC_LNC011820)". Lineage: Eukaryota; Viridiplantae; Streptophyta; Magnoliopsida; Malpighiales; Euphorbiaceae. The record is from RNAcentral.